CUUUUCCAGACGUCAAAACACUCCAUACCUGGAGCAAAGAGAGAGCUACUUCAAUUGUGCACUCUAGCUCAAAAGACUGUUGAUUCAGCAAGCAAGAAACCAAGAAAACAAAAGAGAAUACUCUGUAAAGUUAUGAGUUUGAUCUUCUCCACACAUUCACCACUACCACUCAAUCAAGUCAAUAAAUGUUUGUUUCCUAACUGGCAGCAUAGUGAUUAGAUGGUAAUAAUGGAGAUUGUGCUUCCUCCUUACUCUUAGACUGGUGGUGAUGGAGUUGCGGAUUCUGGUAGCAUUAUCAUCAUUCGUCAUUUGAAUUGAGUAUGGUUAUGGUUAUGGUUCUGAUGGCAAUGGCAUUAUCUCCUGGAUUGAAAAAUGCAUGAACUAGAAUCAACAGCGUGUAAAAUGGGGGGAUUCCGAGUGGCAGCCAUGACCCUGGACGGACCUGGAGCACUCAGCAGUGACGCAUGAUAGCCUUUUGUAGGUCUUGGAUGUCAAGGAAUCAAAAAGAGGAUUUGUCUGGGCAUGACAGCAUAUACAGCACAAGGCUGAACCGGAAGCCAGGAGAGUGAACUACCUGUGUUGAGAAUUCGAUCAAGCUUUCCCUUUAUGACAAAAGGAGCUCAGGCUUGUAAGGGCUUGGAUCUUGAUUUUAAUUUUGAUUCAAGAUCAAAAAAAUGGGAAAGAAAUUGCUACUGCUCUUCAAUUCUCACUUAAGCCGGCCUGUCAGCUUCUUAAGCCAAGUUUCUUUUACCUAGUUCACCAAGAUCAGACCACAUCAAACGAGCUAUAGAUCAUACGAACUGUUUGAUUAAUCAGUCGUAAUUUGACAUUGCAAAUUAACCAGUACAAAUAUGGCAUAUAGUUGAUGUAUCAAAUCGAAAACAAAAACAAAAAUGCAAUCUGCAUAGAGCUUUCAACUCUGUAUAAAAGA
Long non-coding RNA from Populus trichocarpa (black cottonwood), 931 nucleotides. RefSeq lists it as uncharacterized. The transcript is spliced from 2 exons. Lineage: Eukaryota; Viridiplantae; Streptophyta; Magnoliopsida; Malpighiales; Salicaceae. The record is from RefSeq and is a predicted model, not a curated record.